RNAcentral lists this long non-coding RNA (1139 nucleotides) under Anas platyrhynchos platyrhynchos (common mallard). RNAcentral's name for it is "lncRNA (ENSAPLG00000022837.1)". Lineage: Eukaryota; Metazoa; Chordata; Aves; Anseriformes; Anatidae. The record is from RNAcentral.
AUUCCCUCACCCUAACUAAUUGUUUAGAUCUGCUAAUCUGCAUCCGUCAUCUGUGAAGGGGCUAAAGCUGUUCUCAUCUCCUGGUUUAUAGAAGUCAGCUAUAGUGAGUCCGUAACAAGAUCUACAAGGUUUACCUACUACCCUGUGGCGAGAUGAUUGCACACAAUUGGUCCUGACCUCUGCUGUUGCUUGUCCUCGUUCUCUUCUUUCCUCCCGGCCAUGUGUCACAGCUGCCUUGUUGAGGAUGCUAAGACACACUGGAGAAGCCACGUGUGGUCAAGCAUCAUUGCAGCCCUACUGCUGGCCACGAAGGCAUUAGCCAUCAGCUACAUGGAUGGGAAGGCUCCUACCAGGCUCAGGAAACACACAAGUUAUUUUUAAGUUAUGUAGUCAUUGAUAUCCUGUAUUUCCCCUGAAAAAAACAACAGAGAAACAAACAAACAAAAAACAGCAUACUAUUAAAGCAGGGCAUGUGUUUCGGAGGUGGCUUGGGAGAUGAGAUGAGAUACUGAACCUAGAGUUUGAAGCUUGGUUGUGGGUUACUGUGAUCCGGCAUAUAACUUUCAGGAACUGCGUGGGUCACCAACAUGAAAAUACCUCCCCUUUUUUCUUCAGCUAAUCUGCAUUAAAACAAAGGUUAUAUUGUUCUAAGUACUAUCUCAUGUCAACAAUUACUGGGACCACACCUUAUGUUAUCAGUGCCCAGAGACCAGCCUCAGACACCUGGAGCUACAGAUGGAUGCACUAUAUAACCCUGACCAUCAGACCUGUCUACACAUUUAUGAAGAAAGGUGGAAACCCUCCAACACAGAUAUUUCAAAAGAAGAAUAACAAUUCAGUUUUACUGAUCCAUUGGGAAAAAAAGACACAUGAACUGAGUUUACUAAAGAUCCAUAGACAGUCUUUGCAUCUCCUUUCAACAUCAAGGGUUAUCCUGACAGCAAAGGGCAUGUAUAUGCUUUACAAAAGGAAGGAGAUGAUAUACUGCACUAUAGACAUUGCUGUUUGUUGGUAAUUUUGUCUCAGAAGUCAAAGCACCAAGUGACAUUUGUAUGUAUGACAUUAAUCGUGUGACUAUGCAUACACAUAUGUACCUUCAAACAAAUAAAAGCAACAUGUUUAUUAUUAGAAGUUUUGUG